UAGGGAAUCUUCCGCAAUGGACGCAAGUCUGACGGAGCAACGCCGCGUGAGUGAAGAAGGAUUUCGGUUCGUAAAACUCUGUUGUUAGAGAAGAACAGCGCAUAGAGUAACUGUUAUGCGUGUGACGGUAUCUAACCAGAAAGCCACGGCUAACUACGUGCCAGCAGCCGCGGUAAUACGUAGGUGGCAAGCGUUGUCCGGAUUUAUUGGGCGUAAAGCGAGCUCAGGCGGUCAAUUAAGUCUGAUGUGAAAGCCCCCGGCUCAACCGGGGAGGGUCAUUGGAAACUGGUUGACUUGAGUGCAGAAGAGGAGAGUGGAAUUCCAUGUGUAGCGGUGAAAUGCGUAGAUAUAUGGAGGAACACCAGUGGCGAAGGCGACUCUCUGGUCUGUAACUGACGCUGAGGCUCGAAAGCGUGGGUAGCAAACAGG
RNAcentral lists this ribosomal RNA (429 nucleotides) under Bacteroidota bacterium. RNAcentral's name for it is "Bacteroidetes bacterium partial 16S ribosomal RNA". It matches the Rfam family "Bacterial small subunit ribosomal RNA", at positions 355 to 776 of the family's 1533-position model. The record is from RNAcentral. Lineage: Bacteria; Pseudomonadati; Bacteroidota.